CAGUCGCCGCGGUAAUACGGAGGGGGCUAGCGUUGUUCGGAAUUACUGGGCGUAAAGCGCACGUAGGCUGCUUUGUAAGUCAGAGGUGAAAGCCCGGGGCUCAACCCCGGAUGUGCCUUUGAGACUGCAGGGCUAGAACGUCGGAGAGGUGAGUGGAAUUCCGAGUGUAGAGGUGAAAUUCGUAGAUAUUCGGAAGAACACCAGUGGCGAAGGCGGCUCACUGGACGACUGUUGACGCUGAGGUGCGAAAGCGUGGGGAGCAAACAGGAUUAGAUACCCGCGUAGUCCCUGUCUCUUAUAA
This 301-nucleotide ribosomal RNA is filed under the name uncultured bacterium. RNAcentral's name for it is "partial 16S ribosomal RNA". It matches the Rfam family "Bacterial small subunit ribosomal RNA", at positions 509 to 809 of the family's 1533-position model. The record is from RNAcentral.